Molecule: long non-coding RNA, 1089 nt
Organism: Sycon ciliatum
Lineage: Eukaryota; Metazoa; Porifera; Calcarea; Leucosolenida; Sycettidae
Exons: 3
Source: RefSeq, a predicted model, not a curated record
AGUAUCGGCCCUUCCAGCUGCCAUUCUAGAUCUGGAAGUGUGGAACUGUGUCAUCAGUGCACGCAUGCAUCUAUCAUUCGGCGCUAUGACAGUAUGACCUACUAUGGGGAAUGAUCACGGGUUGAGCAACACAACCUAUGCCAACUGUCGGCGAUAUCGGCGAUUUUGCAGACCUAACCGGGUGUAUGCCUUGCCCGAGGUGCCCAACCACUCCACUCUUGCACAUCUCCACCGUGUCCAUACAGACUGAGGAACACUGCACACAGAGGGCACUCAGAAAGUCCUCGGCCUCGUACCCAGGAAAUAACAUUCAACGCGAUCAUAGCCAUGUGAUUAUGCGUGAUCCGUGUCGUGACUUGUGCGACACCGUCGUUCCAUGGUUCGUACCACUCGAUGACGCUGCACUUCUCGAGCCCACGACAGCCAAGCGUCGCUCGACGAAGAGCCAGCCGUACAACUGUCGCACCAACAAAGAGACUUUGUAAAAGUAAGCAAUGCGGUAUACCGCUGUGUCGAGGAAUUAGGACAGGGGACAGUUUGUUACAUGGCACCUGUACCUAGCGUUGAACAUUGACCAGCCACAGACACUUCGAGCAGAGGUGACAGGGAAUUCCAGGACCAUUUAAUUCAGCGGAAUAGCAAUACUAACGUACAAAAGAAUGGAUGGCAAGCCCAUUGGUACAUCAUGUAAGACCGUGUGCAGUCAGCAUUCAUUACGGCAUGCCCCAAAUCUAAUCCAAUCUUCAACAUCAUCAUCACCAGGUUGCCACUGUGCAUCGCCAUACUGAUUGGCCCAAGCAGUGGGAGAUGAAGCACAGCAACAGGGAGUCACUAUGGAGAGAAGAUGAGACAAGAUCAUGUUCCAAGCAAGCAAGUACACAACAUGCUGCUGCUGUUGAUGAUGAUGUGAGUGUGUGUGUGCAUGUGAGUGUGCAAUUGUAGACAGUUGGUAGUAAAUUGCUUAGAUACAUGUUUGAUAUUUCCCACAUCAUAUACCGGUACACCACAAGAAAGUGUGGGCGGGUGUGUAUUUUCACCUCUGCAUACAUGUGGAUGCUCGCACCACGUAGCAUGACUCAUGCAUUCAGC